UUAAGUUAAUAAGGGCGCACGGUGGAUGCCUUGGCACUAGAAGCCGAUGAAGGACGUGACUAACGACGAAAUGCUUUGGGGAGCUGUAAGUGAGCAAUGAUCCAGAGAUGUCCGAAUGGGGGAACCCGGCAGGUAAUGCCUGUCACUCAUUACUGUUAAGGUAAUGUAGAGGAAGACGCAGUGAACUGAAACAUCUAAGUAGCUGCAGGAAGAGAAAGCAAAAGCGAUUGCCUUAGUAGCGGCGAGCGAAACGGCAAGAGGGCAAACCGAAGAGUUUACUCUUCGGGGUUGUAGGACUGCAACGUGGACUUAAAGAUUAUAGAAGAACUACCUGGGAAGGUAGGCCAAAGAGAGUAAUAGCCUCGUAUUCGAAAUAGUCUUUAUACCUAGCAGUAUCCUGAGUACGGCGAGACACGAGAAAUCUCGUCGGAAUCUGGGAGGACCAUCUCCCAACCCUAAAUACUCUCUAGUGACCGAUAGUGAACCAGUACCGUGAGGGAAAGGUGAAAAGCACCCCGGGAGGGGAGUGAAAUAGAACCUGAAACCGUGUGCCUACAACAAGUUCGAGCCCGUUAAUGGGUGAGAGCGUGCCUUUUGUAGAAUGAACCGGCGAGUUACGAUAUGAUGCGAGGUUAAGUUGAAGAGACGGAGCCGUAGGGAAACCGAGUCUUAAUAGGGCGCAUUAGUAUCAUGUCGUAGACCCGAAACCAUGUGACCUACCCAUGAGCAGGUUGAAGGUGAGGUAAAACUCACUGGAGGACCGAACCAGGGCACGUUGAAAAGUGCUUGGAUGACUUGUGGGUAGCGGAGAAAUUCCAAACGAACUUGGAGAUAGCUGGUUCUCUCCGAAAUAGCUUUAGGGCUAGCGUCGAUGUUAAGUCUCUUGGAGGUAGAGCACUGUUUGGGUGAGGGGUCCAUCCCGGAUUACCAAUCUCAGAUAAACUCCGAAUGCCAACGAGAUAUAAUCGGCAGUCAGACUGCGAGUGCUAAGAUCCGUAGUCGAAAGGGAAACAGCCCAGACCACCAGCUAAGGUCCCAAAAUAUAUGUUAAGUGGAAAAGGAUGUGGGGUUGCACAGACAACUAGGAUGUUAGCUUAGAAGCAGCUAUUCAUUCAAAGAGUGCGUAAUAGCUCACUAGUCGAGUGACCCUGCGCCGAAAAUGUACCGGGGCUAAAACAUAUUACCGAAGCUGUGGAUACCUUUAUAGGUAUGGUAGGAGAGCGUUCUAUGUGCGAAGAAGGUGUACCGUGAGGAGUGCUGGAGCGCAUAGAAGUGAGAAUGCCGGUAUGAGUAGCGAAAGACAGGUGAGAAUCCUGUCCACCGUAAGACUAAGGUUUCCAGGGGAAGGCUCGUCCGCCCUGGGUUAGUCGGGACCUAAGGAGAGACCGAAAGGUGUAUCCGAUGGACAACAGGUUGAUAUUCCUGUACUAGAGUAUAUAGUGAUGGAGGGACGCAGUAGGCUAACUAAACCAGACGAUUGGAAGUGUCUGGCCAAGCAGUGAGGUGUGAUAUGAGUCAAAUGCUUAUAUCUAUAACAUUGAGCUGUGAUGGGGAGCGAAGUUUAGUAGCGAAGUUAGUGAUGUCACACUGCCAAGAAAAGCUUCUAGCGUUAAUUAUACUCUACCCGUACCGCAAACCGACACAGGUAGUCGAGGCGAGUAGCCUCAGGUGAGCGAGAGAACUCUCGUUAAGGAACUCGGCAAAAUGGCCCCGUAACUUCGGGAGAAGGGGCGCUGACUUAUGGUCAGCCGCAGUGAAUAGGCCCAAGCAACUGUUUAUCAAAAACACAGCUCUCUGCUAAAUCGUAAGAUGAUGUAUAGGGGGUGACGCCUGCCCGGUGCUGGAAGGUUAAGAGGAGUGCUUAGCAAUAGCGAAGGUAUGAAUUGAAGCCCCAGUAAACGGCGGCCGUAACUAUAACGGUCCUAAGGUAGCGAAAUUCCUUGUCGGGUAAGUUCCG
RNAcentral lists this ribosomal RNA (1957 nucleotides) under human gut metagenome. Its description in RNAcentral is "bacterial LSU rRNA". It matches the Rfam family "Bacterial large subunit ribosomal RNA", at positions 3 to 1985 of the family's 2925-position model. The record is from RNAcentral.